RNAcentral lists this ribosomal RNA (235 nucleotides) under uncultured Staphylococcus sp. RNAcentral describes it as "partial 16S ribosomal RNA". It matches the Rfam family "Bacterial small subunit ribosomal RNA", at positions 105 to 334 of the family's 1533-position model. The record is from RNAcentral. Lineage: Bacteria; Bacillati; Bacillota; Bacilli; Caryophanales; Staphylococcaceae.
GGUGAGUAACACGUGGAUAACCUACCUAUAAGACUGGGAUAACUUCGGGAAACCGGAGCUAAUACCGGAUAAUAUAUUGAACCGCAUGGUUCAAUAGUGAAAGACGGUUUUGCUAUCACUUAUAGAUGGAUCCGCGCCGCAUUAGCUAGUUGGUAAGGUAACGGCUUACCAAGGCAACGAUGCGUAGCCGACCUGAGAGGGUGAUCGGCCACACUGGAACUGAGACACGGUCCAG